AUGCUCUCUUCGGCAGCACAUACACUAAAAUUGGAAAAAUACAGAGAUGAUUAGCAUGGCUCCUGCACAAGGAUGACAUGCAAAUUUAAAGCAUUUCAUCUUUUGU
Small nuclear RNA from Chlorocebus sabaeus (green monkey), 106 nucleotides. The record is from Ensembl. Lineage: Eukaryota; Metazoa; Chordata; Mammalia; Primates; Cercopithecidae.